AUGCCUAAUGGCCAAACAAUAAAGUGUCACCAGCCAGAGGCCUAUAAAUAUCUGGGCAUAUUACAGCUGGACAACAUCAAGCAUGAACAUGUGAAAACUGUGGUCAGCAAAGAAUACACACAAAGGGUCAGAAAAAUUCUCAAAAGCAAACUCAAUGGAGGCAACACCAUCAAGGCCAUAAACUCCUGGGCCAUACCUGUCAUAAGAUAUACUGCUGGCAUUAUAAAUUGGACACAGGCGGAACUGGACAAUUUGGACAGAAAAACAAGAAAACUCAUGACCAUUCAUAAUUCACUGCACCCUCGCAGUGAUGUUGACCGGCUAUAUCUGCCUAGAAGAUCAGGGGGCAGAGGACUCUUGCAAGUAAAACAAGCAGUCAAAGAAGAAGAACAUGCCCUGGCAGAAGAUGGAAAGCAAAGUGAAGAGCCUGCUUUGAUUGAAGUCAAAAAUCAGAAACUCCUCAAAGUACAGCAGACAAAACAGCAGUAUAAGAAAACCGCACUACAAACUAGAUCUGACAGCUGGCACAACAAAACAUUGCAUGGAAAGUUCCUUGACAAAAUUGAAGGAAAAGCUGACAAGGAGAAGACCUGGCUCUGGCUCACGAAUGGGACCCUGAAGAAGGAGACAGAAGGCCUGAUCCUUGCAGCCCAGGAGCAAGACAUCAGAACAAAUGCAAUUAAGGCCAAGAUCGAAAAAUCUGCUGAUGACCCCAAAUGCAGACUGUGCAAGGAAACCAUUGAUCAUAUCCUCAGCUGCUGUAAGAAAAUUGCACAGACAGACUACAAACAGAGGCACAACUAUGUGGCCCAAAUGAUUCAUUGGAACUUAUGCCUCAAGUACCACCUCCCAGCAGAAAAGAACUGGUGGGAUCACAAACCUGCAAAAGUAUUGGAAAAUGAGCACGCAAAGAUACUGUGGGACUUCCGAAUCCAGACUGACAAAGUUCUGGAACACAACACACCAGACUUCACAGUUGUGGAGAAGAAAAAGGUUUGGAUCAUUGAUGUCGCCAUCCCAGGUGACAGGCACAUUGACGAAAAACAACAGGAAAAACUCAGCCGCUAUCAGGACCUCAGGAUUGAACUUCAAAGACUCUGGCAGAAACCAGUGCAGGUGGUCCCAGUGGUGAUGGGCACACUGGGUGCCAUGCCAAAAGAUCUCAGCCGGCAUUUGGAAACAAUAGACAUGGACAAAAUUACG
RNAcentral lists this long non-coding RNA (1203 nucleotides) under Anolis carolinensis (green anole). Its description in RNAcentral is "lncRNA (ENSACAG00000044369.1)". Lineage: Eukaryota; Metazoa; Chordata; Lepidosauria; Squamata; Anolidae. The record is from RNAcentral.